UCCUCGUUGGUCCAGUGGUAUGGAUAUCCGCCUCUCAUGCAUAGUCCGCGGAUGACCCGGGUUCGAACCCCGGACGGGGAA
Ceraceosorus guamensis is the source of this 81-nucleotide non-coding RNA. The record is from the annotation of a RefSeq genome assembly. Lineage: Eukaryota; Fungi; Basidiomycota; Exobasidiomycetes; Ceraceosorales; Ceraceosoraceae.